GAUGAAGAACGUAGCGAAAUGCGAUAAGUAGUGUGAAUUGCAGAAUUCAGUGAAUCAUCGAAUCUUUGAACGCACAUUGCGCCCCUUGGUAUCCCGAGGGGCAUGCCUGUUCGAGCGUCAUUUCACCACUCAAGCCUGGCUUGGUGUUGGGCGACGUCCCCUUUGGGGACGCGCCUCGAAACGCUCGGCGGCGUGGCACCGGCUUUAAGCGUAGCAGAAUCUUUCGCUUUGGAAGUCGGGGCCCCGUCUGCCGGAAGACCUACUCGCAAGGUUGACCUCGGAUCAGGCAGGGAUACCCGCUGAACUUAAGCAUAUCAAUAAGCGGAGAA
Molecule: unclassified non-coding RNA, 329 nt
Filed under: soil metagenome
Description: partial contains 5.8S ribosomal RNA, internal transcribed spacer 2, and large subunit ribosomal RNA
Rfam family: 5.8S ribosomal RNA (bases 1-120)
Source: RNAcentral